This 199-nucleotide unclassified non-coding RNA is filed under the name uncultured Agaricomycetes. RNAcentral's name for it is "sequence contains ITS2". Lineage: Eukaryota; Fungi; Basidiomycota; Agaricomycetes. RNAcentral also lists the same sequence under 1 other name. The record is from RNAcentral.
AAUUCUCAAUCUUCUUUGGAUUUUUUCAUUGGAGACUUGGAUGUGAGGGUUUGCCGGUUGUUCAAUCGGCUCCCUUUAAAUGUGUUAGCGUUGCCUCAGCCGAUCGAACGCCCCUCGGUAUGAUAAUUAUCUAUGCCGUGUCGGGGAUCGCACGAGAGUAUGCUUCUAACAGUCCCUCUUGGGGGACAUAUUCAUCAUA